Molecule: long non-coding RNA, 3994 nt
Filed under: Homo sapiens (human)
Lineage: Eukaryota; Metazoa; Chordata; Mammalia; Primates; Hominidae
Description: HSALNT0339759
Source: RNAcentral
UCAUGUGGCCUUUAGUAAGAAGCGUCCACUCUCAUUGUGUUUUAUUUACCAGCUUGCUUUUAAAGAGCCAGGACCAGUCCACUAGCUGUGCAGAGUGCUGACCUCUUGGAUGAGAGCCCUGACCUCAUAGGAUAUCUGAGCUUGUCAUAAUUCAGGUGGGUUCUGUAGGGAAGCAGGGGCUCGUGGGGAGUGGGAGGAAGCUGGGGAGAAGAUGAGUUGAGAGCAGUCCAGUGUGAGGGAAAGUGGGGAUCCUGGGCCAACUUACCAUUAAGAGGGUCCAGUCCUGUGACUGCUGUGAAGUAACCAGGAUUCCACAUAGAGAUGGGGCUCAAAGUCAGCCCAGGAGCAGCACUGUGGUCCCAGAACUAAUAUUUGGCGACUCCAAGGCCAGGGAUAAAAAUGAAGAGAUGGAGAGACAAGAUUUCCUGGCCUCUAAUUGGCAGCACCCGUUGACUCUGCUCGUGACCAGACUCAUGAACGCUUCAUCCAAGGUUUCAUGUCAUCCGUGUGAGGAACCUCUCUGAUUUGAGAAAAUCUUUCUUAAAAUGGGCUUCUAGUUGUAAAGCCAUUGUCUUUUUAGGAAAUCAUCAAAUACCUUAAAGCUAGACACGCAAUCAGCUGCAUAAAUGACACACUCACUAAAUCAAUCCUUUAUCAGAUGCAGCAUGGCCCUGUUGUGAACGGAAUGAUUGUGAACGGAAUGAUGGCCAAGGAGCUUUAUGCUUCUGCACCGCCAGCUCACACGAUGGUCCGUGUAUUGCCCCGUGGAAAACCGGGGGUGGAAAGCUGUCUCCACGUUCUGCUGCCGAAGCAGCAAGCUGAUUCACACAUCUUGAAGGCACAGUGGAACAUGGAAGGGUGCAUAUGAGACUUGAUUUUGAGGAUGAAACUUCCUGUCUGAAUCGCUAAGUCUCCCAGCAGGGGUGUUAAUGUCCCUGUGAGAUGCAGGCUUCCCACAGACACACCCAGGUUGCGAGUGGGUUCAACAUGGUCACAGGAGCUUCAAAUGGUGAUCCUGAUGCUCAUGGCCAUGCAUUGAGAACAACUGUGUAAGAAGAUAUGGAUAAUGCUUGAAAACUACUAGUAUUAGCACCAUUUUGCAUAUACUCCAAGGAAGAUCUCAAUAAAUGCUUAAUGGAAAUAAGUAAAGGUAUGAAUGCUGGACCUAAUACAGGAGGAAGACCCAGGUGAUUUGUGUACAAUUUGGACACAAGCUCUUGCCAACCACCUGAGAGAUUCCAACAAUGAGAUGAGAUUCCUUACCUUGAACCAGAUAAUUUGGAAUGAAUGUCUAGGCAGAACUUCUGCUUCAGAAUGACCACAAUUAACUACCAGACAACCAACUUUGGGGACAUAUCAGUAGGUGCAGAGCAUUUAGAACUGGAAGGACCAUUUGAAAUACAUAGUUCAUCUCUCUCAUGUUACUGAGGAGGAAAACUGAAGUGCACGGAGGUAAAGUAACUCGCCCAGUAUCACAAUUUGUGUUUGUACCAUUGCUGAGGUGAGCACCUGGGCCUUCUAACCCCAAAUUAAAUUAUUCUCCUAUGUGACAACCUCCUUUAAUGGUUUUUUCUCAUUUAUAUUUAAAAUUUUUAAAGUACCCAAGUAAUAAUACACGUUCAUGGUAGAAAAAGAAAAAAAAUUAGCAAAAUGAGGAAAAUAAAAAUCAGUUUUAAUCCCACCUUCAGAUGCAACUAUUCUCUGUUUUGUAUUUCCUUUCUAGAUAAUAACUAUAACGGAUCAUUAUUAUGAAAUGCUUACUCUGUGCUAGUUAUUAUGGAGUGCUUCUUACAAAAUGCUAGGCAUUUUGUAAACACUCUUCAUGUGUGGAUGCUUUAAUCUUCUGCACAACCCUAUGAUGUAGAUUAUCACCAUCAGUGAUAGGCAGUGUGGCAGGCAGAAUGACAGCCUCCCUGAAAUGUCCACAUACUAAUCCCAGGAACCUGUGAAUGCGUUAUGUUACAUGGCAAAGGAGAAUUAAGAUAGCAGACAAAAUUAAGGUUGGUAAUUGGCUGAUCCUGAAAUAGCAAGAAUAUCCUAGAUUACCCAGGUAGGCCCAACGCAAUCAGAAAGGAAGAGGGAGACACAAGAGGCGGCAUGAGAGUGAUGCGAUGUGAGAAUGAUUCAACCAGCCUUUGCUGGCUUUGAAGGUGGAGGAGGAGGCCAGAGCCAAGGAAUGCGGGAAACCUUUAGAAACUGAAAAACCAAAAAAUGGAUUUCUCCUUUUGGUACUCCAGAAAGGAAUGCACCCCUGCUGACACCUUGACUUUAGCCCAACAUGGUAGACAGAACAAUGGCCCCAAAAUAUCCACAUUCCAAUCCCUGGAAUGUGUGACUGUGUUACCUUACAUGUCAAAAGGAAGUUUACAGAUGUGAUUAAGACUUUUGAGAAGGGGAGAUUAUCUUGGAUUAUCUAGGUGGGCCCAAUGUAAUCAUAAGGAUCUUUAAAAGAAGCAGGCAGGAGGAUGAGAGUCAGAGAGAAGAUGUGAUGACAAAAGCAGGGAAUGGAGUGCUGUGCUUUUAAGACAGAGGAAGGGGCCAAAAGCCAAGGAACACAAGAGGCCUCUAAAAGAGGUAAGGAAACAGAAUCUUCCCUUGAGUCUCUGGAAGAGUAUGGCCCUGUUGACACCUUGAUUUUGGCCCAGCAAAACCUAUUUUGGACUGACCACCAGAACCGUAAGAUAAUAAAUGCAUGUUAUUUUAAGCCACUAAGUUUGUGGGAAUUUCUUACAGCAGCAAUAGGAAACUGGUACACCUAGUUUACAACUUGCUAGGGCCACAGAGUUGGCCAGUGGCAGAGACAGGAUGUGGUUUCAAGCCAUCUGGCUUCAGAGCCCAUAUCUGUUACCAUUAUGACAUAAACAUACAUGGACACAUAGAGAUUUAAAUAGUACAUACAUCUCAAUGAAUGCAAACCUUCCAUAAUAUUUUGAUAGUCAUUCAGCACCACCAUAUUAAAUAGUUGUAGUCCACUCAAUAAAUAUACCACUCCCCAUAUUUUAUAUAAUAAAUCCCUUAUUAUUCAAUACAUACGUUGUUUCUAAUGUUUCAAUAUUGUACUACUGGCAAUGAUAAACAUCUUUCUAGUGCUAUUAAUUAUUUCAUUAGGAAAAACUCUUAAAAUUAGAAACGCCAGGUCAAGUUACCCCUAAGAAAGACUGCAUUGGAAUAUAACGGAAAAUAAAACAUGCAACUGGAAGUCGGAGCAUCUCUGCCUUCUUUUUCUGUAACACCUUUGGUAUUAAGCUAUUUUUCUUAUCCAUGGUACACACUCAAUCGUAUUUUUGUUUUUGAAGGUUUUAGCUAUAACACUAUUUCUUCUGUAGACUCAUAGGUGUUAGAGCAAGAAGGUAUUUAGAGGUGAUUUAGUCUAAUCCUUUAAAUCACAGGUAAAUUCCCUGAGGCCCAGAGUGGUGAACUGACUCACUAAAAGCUCUCCUUACAGGGGUGCUUGGUGAGAACGCACCUUCCUGACUCCAAGGCCAGCUAUCUUUCCACAUCUGCUGCAAAUGUCAUGAGGCUAGCCCCCAAGUUGGGACCAUUAUUAAUUUUUCCCCUCAAGUCAUGCGAAACAUCUCUUGUCCUUUUAAUCAGAAGCAUAUUUUAGGGGCUGCGGAAUAAUAAGCACCCACAUAUCCAGUAUUAAAAGAUAAACUCUGGCCCUUUCCUGGAGUGAGCCUGUUUUCAUUUUAUCAUUGUGAAAUGUGGUAGGAUUGAUGGCAGACAAUAACUCCCCACCUCCCCCAGUAUUUUAUUAAGAUCCGUUCUUACAAAGGAUAACCGGAGGUUUUCCAUCAUCACCUCGUUGUCUUUUUUCUAACUUGGUUCGUCUGCUACCCAACAGUAGUAAGGUUACCUCAUCCUGGAAUCUGAUGUACACAACGGUAUGCAAACUCUUUCCUUCUCUCCGAAGCAAACAAUGAAAUGGGAAAACACUGCCAUUUUCUGACUGACCUCAAUCGCUGAGGGUGGACCCCGCACGUUACAUCAGCAG